CUUUAAGUGAAUAUUGAUCACCACCUGUUUUUAAUUGGCCUCAUUUGAUACGUGAGAAUAAACAAAGCAAGCAAUGUGGGUGAAACCGAUCAGAAAGCGUGGCAGUUACCUCGCCUAGAUACAUUGGCGACCUGUCCAAGUUGUACACGACCCGUCUCUCGCCCAGUGCAUGCUGGGAUACACUGUUGAAUCCACGCAGCCCCAGGCGACUUGGUUCAAGCCUGGAGGGUGAAAACAGGCUGCUACUGUGAGGCGACUGAAGGGCUCUCCUCACGGCGCAGACUCCAAUGAGGUCCAUCCACUCGGCAUCCCCCCGGGCCCAGCAGUGUGCGUGAAUGGACAUUAAAAAGAGCUGGU
RNAcentral lists this long non-coding RNA (357 nucleotides) under Sparus aurata (gilthead seabream). RNAcentral's name for it is "lncRNA (ENSSAUG00010002899.1)". Lineage: Eukaryota; Metazoa; Chordata; Actinopteri; Spariformes; Sparidae. The record is from RNAcentral.